UUGGUAUGAUGGAUAGAAUGCUGGACUUGUGAACAAGAAGACCUUCAUUUUUAUCUUACCUCAGAUAUUUACUUAACUGCUGAAUCCUGGGUACUUCCUACUACAAAAAGUACUGCUUGGCUGAUUUCAGAAAAUUCUAGAGAAAAGCCUGGAGAGACUUACAUGAUCUGAUAAGUGAAAUGAGUAGAACCAAGAGAACAUUGUACACAGCAAUAACAAGACUAUAUGAUAAUCAAUUGUGUUGGAUUCAGCUCUUCAACAAUGAGGUGAUUCAUGGCAAUUCCAAUAGACUUGUGAUGGAGAGAGCCAUCUGCACCCAGAGAGAGUAGUGUGGGGACUGAUUGUGGAUCGCAACAUAGUAUUUUUACCUUUUUUGUUGUUAUUUUGCUUGGUUUUUUUCUUUUUUUCUUUUUCUCUUUUGAUCUGAUUUUUCUUGUUGCAGCAUGAGAAAAUGUUUUGAAGAAUUGUACACAGUUAAACUAUGUUGAAUUACUUGCUGCCUAGGGAAGGAGGGAAAGGGAGGGAGAAAAA
Long non-coding RNA from Antechinus flavipes (yellow-footed antechinus), 531 nucleotides. RefSeq lists it as uncharacterized. The transcript is spliced from 2 exons. Lineage: Eukaryota; Metazoa; Chordata; Mammalia; Dasyuromorphia; Dasyuridae. The record is from RefSeq and is a predicted model, not a curated record.